UAACAGCCAUAUUUGCGCGCC
This 21-nucleotide non-coding RNA is filed under the name Caenorhabditis elegans. The record is from RNAcentral. Lineage: Eukaryota; Metazoa; Nematoda; Chromadorea; Rhabditida; Rhabditidae.